CGCGGCCUAUCAGCUUGUUGGCGAGGUAACGGCUCACCAAGGCAACGACGGGUAGCUGGUCUGAGAGGAUGGCCAGCCACAUUGGGACUGAGAUACGGCCCAGACUCCUACGGGAGGCAGCAGUGGGGAAUCUUGCGCAAUGGCCUAACGGCUGACGCAGCGACGCCGCGUGUAGGAUGAAGCUCUUCGGAGUGUAAACUACUGUUGCCCGGGACGAAUAGCUCGAUUAAUCGAGCCUGACAGUACCGGGUGAGGAAGCACCGGCUAACUCCGUGCCAGCAGCCGCGGUAAUACGGGGGGUGCGAGCGUUGUCCGGAAUCACUGGGCGUAAAGGGCGCGUAGGUGGCCCGGUCAGUUCGUGGUGAAAGCGCGGGGCUCAACUCCGCGUCGGCCAUGAAUACUGCUGGGCUUGAGCACUGUAGAGGCAGGCGGAAUUCCGGGUGUAGCGGUGGAAUGCGUAGAGAUCCGGAAGAACACCGGUGGCGAAGGCGGCCUGCUGGGCAGUAGCUGACACUGAGGCGCGACAGCGUGGGGAGCAAACAGGAUUAGAUACCCUGGUAGUCCACGCCGUAAACGAUGGGCACUAGGCGCUUGGGGGAGCGACCCCUCGAGGGCCGGCGCUAACGCAUUAAGUGCCCCGCCUGGGAGUACG
This 652-nucleotide ribosomal RNA is filed under the name uncultured bacterium. Its description in RNAcentral is "bacterial SSU rRNA". It matches the Rfam family "Bacterial small subunit ribosomal RNA", at positions 232 to 884 of the family's 1533-position model. The record is from RNAcentral.